CGAGGAAGACCCCCUCCGGCGGAGGCGGGGGGCGGGGCCGAGGAAGACGCGGGUGGCCGCGGAAAUUGAGGGGGGGAGGAGGCAAUGGCAGAGGGGGGAAGGGUGGAGGGGGUGGGCGACGAGUAGUUGUAAGUUGUCCUUAAGCUAAACUAAAGCUGACUAACUAACCAACGUUGAGACGAGACGACGCUCUCUCCGGAGGCGAUGCAAGAACGGCCCCAACAAGAAGAAGCUAAAAAUCCCAACGCCUCGGGAACCUAAAGCGCAUCCCUUCGGAGGAGGGCCGGCACACUACCUGCGCUCCCUCUACACUUCGGACCGACAAUUGACUACGAGCACCUCUCUAAGCCUCCUCUCCUCGCGCGCCACUCCUCCGCCACCUCCGCCUUCGCUGCCUCUCAACCCGUGGUCGCGUCGGUGCCUGCUGCGCGUCGGCGGCCCCCUGCUCCGGACCUUGUCCCGACGAGGCGGGGAGUGCCGGCGGCGGCGGCGGCGGAGGUACCCCCUCAGCGACGAGUGGCGCGAGAGGUACCUGUGGCGGUGCCGGGUGGUGGGCGUGGUCCCGGGGAGGUGGAAGGAGAGGUACCUGUGACGGAGGGUGCUGCUCAAGCUGGAGAAGGAGGGCGGCGGUCCGGGGAAGGUCGCGACGGAGGUACGGCGGCGUCGGCGGGGGGGACUGUAGUUGGAGGGGGAGCGGCGACUGGGCAGCGGAGGGGGAGGCCGGUACGUCUGGUGGUUGGAGGUACUUAGGUUGCAGCUGUACGACCUACAACCGGAGCCGACGGGCGUCGAGAUACUGAGCCUGAGCGGACGACGACGGCGGCACUGGAGCCGGGGCCACAGGUGGUGUUGUUGACAGGUACACAGAGUGUGGUUCUCGAGGCCAAGGUCGCGGCGCGCGUUCACGCACUUCGCCUUACUAUCGUAGACCCCACGUACCAAGAAGAAGUGGGUGAUGAAGUUCGGCCAGUACAGCCGACUAUUCCCGCCGUUCUGCUUCCGUGGGUGACGACGACCCUUACCAUUAUCACGGUGAGACCUACGAAAGGACCACGUCGUACUGUACCUCUUGUACAUGUACACCCACAAAUUCCUGGCCGGCCUCUUACGGGACCCCUUCUACGUCGACUCCUCGAAGUACUUGCCAGUGAGCGCGGAACCCCUCGGUGUCAAAGGAAAGUCGCGUCUGUUUCCCAAACACGCGAGUGUGGCCUACGUCGCAUUCGUGAUGGCCCCCAACAGUUUGGGCGUCACGGAAGUACCCUAACUCUAGCACGCCCGUGGUUUGAAUCACCCACAAGGACUCCGACUAUACUUCUCCACCAAGCUCGAGUGACCCUCUCUACGGUUAAAGAACCAAGGGUGACUCCGCCUACUAAAACUUAGUACCUCCUUAGACGGCUGGUGCCUUAAACUCGAGCUCUCCGGACGUUGACGACGAGGUCGUUUCUCGUGGAGUGUACCGGUAGUGUUCUUCCACGACUUACCAAGACCGGAAUUGGACAGUUGUGUACGUAGUUUCGUACCAAGACCCCUACCAUACCUGUAGAGUCCGCACACGGUGUUUGCAUCCUUCCUAAGGAGGGGGAGACGGUACCUUCUCCUAACGUCGUUAAGUUUAAGUCUGUUCCAAGUCCUGUACCUACACUCGGUGUGAAAACUCGGUAGUACCUGCUUACUGAAGUGACCACACUACGCAGUACGAAGACCCGGUCAUUGACGGCGUUUUUGUUAUAUACUUCUAUCGUUCCCGAUGAACUAGUAGUAAUCGGACGGUAAACGACUAUAUGUCUUCCACUUCCAAUGGACCUUCUUGUGAGAAUGCUUACCACAGCAAUUCUAUAGUACGUGAUCACAGCCUGCCUACGGUAAGAACUUCGCUGUACUGGCCUGGAAGUUCAACUGCCUAGGAAGUGGACUCGUAACAGGUGGUCCCCUCAAGUAGGCCCUUCAAGGUAACGGAUGGGCCUAGGGUCUUCUACGAUGAGACCUUCGUAUGACACUACUUAGUCCUUGUCCGGAUCUCUAAUAACAGGGAUUUGUGGCACGACCUGGACUUCUUGUACUUCAGGCACACAGGGACUCCGGAGGGAGUAGUACCACGGUUACUUUUGUACAACUUCCACACACUAUCUACAAGUACAUCAUCAAUCUCACAGAUAAUAACAGUCGACGAGAACUGACUAGGAAACGACAGAACAGACGAUUGGGAGAUCAUACGCCCCUCUGUUCCACACCUACAAUGGUAUGUUGUUUACGUCGAGUCAAAACGAUUAACACUGCCUCGUCAGGAUCAGCUAACUUCGUAAGACCAUCAACCUUCAACCGUCGACACCUUUAAAUCCCCGUACGAUGUCCGGUGUUCCUUGUAUCGCGGGAUACAAAACCAUAGCAACGACCCCUCAUGGAACACAUAAUAGAAAACUAAACACCUUAAAAACAAACAUAAUUUUCCAAACAGCGGACGAGUUACACGAAGGUAGACACGUAAUGAGACCACUCGUCAGACAAAUCCGUAAAUAUCAGUCAAAAGUAUCCAACCACUCUUCAGACGAAACACCAGUAAGAACCUUUAAAGUAGGUUCUUUCCUCGAGUACGUUCACAAACAUCCUAAACAGGUACAAAACAGCCAUGAUAACAAAAAUAGUCGUAAGCUUGCGAAAGGUCCUUUAACGACCUUCCGCUCACGUUAACAAACUUCCAUGGUUACAUUUGUUAGACAGUAGUUAUAUCUAAAAUCAGAAAUAGUCAAUACACGUGACGACAUCAUUAAACUUAAGUGAAAGUAUACGAAACCAUAAUACAAGUCAAGUUGAAGUUGGGGCGACUUCACUAACGUCACAAGCGUUGCGACUCAACAUAGACGUAAAAAGAAAACGACUUCACUUCAUAGACGUUCCUAUCCUAAUCGGGGUAAACCUCCAUAAAUGGAUAAGACCACAGGAUGCAGAGUGCGUUGUGGAACAAUCGUUGGUCUCUUAAAAAGAGUAUUGUUUCACCGUUGACAAAACUAUAAUUCAAAAACGGGACCCUGACG
RNAcentral lists this ribosomal RNA (3038 nucleotides) under Triticum aestivum (bread wheat). RNAcentral's name for it is "partial small subunit ribosomal RNA". Lineage: Eukaryota; Viridiplantae; Streptophyta; Magnoliopsida; Poales; Poaceae. The record is from RNAcentral.